AUGGGAGUGGAGCUACCGCAUCUUGGACAUACGGGAGCGCUGAUUGGAGGCAGCGCCAUGGACGCACGGGAGUACGUCGCAGCCAUGGAGAAGAGCAGCAGGAGAUGGACGACGAGGCGUGCCCACGCAGUCGGCGCUGAUGACGAGGCGGAGCUCCGGAAGCGCACAGCCGGCGUUGGAGACGAGAUAGAGGCGCGCAGGCCCUUGGGCUCCCAUAUCCCGGGUGAGCAGGGCUUGCGUCUCCAUCCCGGACGAGAGGAGGUAGGGGAGGUGGGUCGUUGCCGUCGCUUGGGCACGAGGAGAGCGGCGCAGUGCGAGGAGGUAGGCCCCGACGGCGGGGCUCCUCCACGAGGAGCGCAACCGGCGGCAGGAAUCGCGCUCGACCAGGCGGCAGUUGCGGCAGGAGCCGCGCCGGCCGGCAGGGGCGGAGGGCUGCGCGUCCGGCUGGAGGCAGCUGGCUGCUAUGGCGCGGCGGGAAGUCGACUGGAGAUGGCGACGUGGUGGCCGGAUUUUGGUGGCGGCGCCCGUGAUUGGGUGCGGGUGUGUGCUGCGGUUCUUGACAGACGAGGGGGCCAUCCCAACACCCUAGGAGGAGGGGACGAGGGAGCAGGUCAUCUGCGAGCUCAAGAUGGUAUUGGGACAUGGAGAUUCCGGCUUGGAAAAAUCAGAUAUUGCGGGCAUAUUGUGACGGAUUGGGCCAAGGCGGUGGCAUGUGAGGAGAGGGUUCCCCCGAGGCGAGGGACGGCUGCGGUCCUGACCUGUCGUUCUUACACGUUAGGGGGUUUGGACAUCAAUGCUGUAUUUCUCAAUUUUGUGGCUUUCGUACCAUUCUCAUUGGGAAUGAUUGUCCUGUGUGAUCUAUCAUGGUUAUUCUCUUCAGCAUCCAGUCCUAUGCUAGCAAGAGUAAUGACACAAGUGGAUAUGCCAAGCAAAUAUGUCCUGCUUGGAUCAUAUAUGCUUCUGUAA
RNAcentral lists this ribosomal RNA (966 nucleotides) under Triticum aestivum (bread wheat). Its description in RNAcentral is "partial small subunit ribosomal RNA". The record is from RNAcentral. Lineage: Eukaryota; Viridiplantae; Streptophyta; Magnoliopsida; Poales; Poaceae.